AGGUAAUACAGAAGUUGAAUGUGAUUUCAGUAAAGUAAGAACAGAGGGGAAAGUACACACGAUAUCUCAUAAUUAUGAUUUUAAUAAACAACUUGACGGAUUGCUGAUAUACUCAUAUAUAAAUGAAGUAACUGAAAAUCUCGAGGAUGGCAUUUUUAAAUUACUCAAAGACAGAAAGUACACCUGUCAACAAAAUAUCACACAAAAAUGCUUACCGGCCCAGGAAGCUGUUGUAUUAGCACAUGAUGAGGAACAGGAAGGGACUUUAAGCCAUCAAUGCCGAUGUAUUGUUAUGACUGUCAAGCCUUUUCAACUAGAUAACCCACC
This is a long non-coding RNA of Ruditapes philippinarum (Manila clam), 327 nucleotides long. RefSeq lists it as uncharacterized. The record is from RefSeq and is a predicted model, not a curated record. Lineage: Eukaryota; Metazoa; Mollusca; Bivalvia; Venerida; Veneridae. The transcript is spliced from 3 exons.